This is a long non-coding RNA of Gossypium raimondii (Peruvian cotton), 418 nucleotides long. RefSeq lists it as uncharacterized. Lineage: Eukaryota; Viridiplantae; Streptophyta; Magnoliopsida; Malvales; Malvaceae. The transcript has 2 exons. The record is from RefSeq and is a predicted model, not a curated record.
AGUACUCAUCGGUCAUUUCGAGAAACUCUGCGGCGCAACGGAGUGGAACAACGGUGGAGGAGGAGAGAUCGAUUUUGACGCCGUAACAGAAUUUGGCGGCGGUUUCGAAAGCGUCAGAACCACCCGGAAAAUCCUGCAGAGAUAUCUGGUCUGAAAACGUGGCGCUGGCUUUCAUUAUUAGCAACAUUGCCUCCACCCUUGUAAGUUCUUCCACCCUCUUCCUUGCUUUGCAUUUAUGAAUACAAUAAUGAGACAACUACUAAGGAAUAUUUUGUACGAUUUUCCAUUAAGGAUGUGUGUAAAUGGAGUUAGAGGAAGAUAGGGUGUGUAGGAAAAAUCGAAAAUUGAUUUGAAUAUUUUGGAGUAUAAAUUAAAAUUGUUGUUACUUGAAUUGAAUGGAAAUAUAUUUAUUUAUUUA